UACAAUGUGUCUGUCAACGCCAAUAACAACACCGACAUCAACAAUGGAGCAGAUGGGAAGAACACUAAUAAGGCUAAAGAGAUGCGAUCAAAACAUUCUGUCACCGAGCAGAGGAGGAGGAGUAAGAUAAAUGAGAGGUUCCAGAUAUUGAGAGAGCUUAUACCAAACACGGAUCAAAAGAGAGAUAAAGCUUCAUUCCUGCUAGAGGUCAUAAGAGUAAGUCCAAUUUUCACAGGAG
This is a long non-coding RNA of Hibiscus syriacus, 238 nucleotides long. RefSeq lists it as uncharacterized. The record is from RefSeq and is a predicted model, not a curated record. The transcript has 4 exons. NCBI's taxonomy places the organism in Eukaryota, Viridiplantae, Streptophyta, Magnoliopsida, Malvales, Malvaceae.